GGCUGCAACCCGCCUACAUGAAGUUGGAAUUGCUAGUAAUCGCAGAUCAGAAUGCUGCGGUGAAUACGUUCCCGGGCCUUGUACACACCGCCCGUCACACCAUGGGAGCCGGUAAUACCCGAAGUCAGUAGUCUAACCGCAAGGGGGACGCUGCCGAAGGUAGGAUUGGCGACUGGGGUGAAGUCGUAACAAGGUAAC
This 198-nucleotide ribosomal RNA is filed under the name uncultured bacterium. RNAcentral describes it as "partial 16S ribosomal RNA". It matches the Rfam family "Bacterial small subunit ribosomal RNA", at positions 1303 to 1500 of the family's 1533-position model. The record is from RNAcentral.